UGCAGAGCAGCGACCGAGUGCCCCGUGCUUUGUGCUCCAUGCUCCGUUUAGACCUUGGUUCUCUCUGGCGGUGGUAGAUGUCCGCUGCCGUGUGGGUCUCUCUCUCCCUCCCUCUCCCUGUGCAGGUUUGACUUUGAAAACAGGGAAUGCUCGUCAGCUGGCCGAAAUCUACAGGUGGCGAUUCACGUGCCUUCACCACCAGCUGAUUGGGACCGCUGCUGUUUUGUCUCUGUUUUGUCUCUGCCUUGUCGCUGCUUUGUCGGUGUUUUGUCUAUGCUUUGUCUACACUGAUUUAUUUACAUUGCUUUGUCCGCACCGCUUUGCCUCUGCCGUUAAACACACGGUUGCUGUGUUUAUACCGCUUUGUCGACUAUAUGUCUGCUGUUGUGCCCCUACUGCUAGCUGCAUAGCUGUGUCUCUGCUGCUGUAUGGACAUUGUCCCCUGCUUUGCCUCUGC
Molecule: long non-coding RNA, 457 nt
Organism: Dicentrarchus labrax (European seabass)
Lineage: Eukaryota; Metazoa; Chordata; Actinopteri; Moronidae
Exons: 3
Source: RefSeq, a predicted model, not a curated record